AUGAACGCUGGCGGCGUGCCUAAUACAUGCAAGUCGAGCGCACAGACGAGGAGCUUGCUCCUCUGACGUUAGCGGCGGACGGGUGAGUAACACGUGGAUAACCUACCUAUAAGACUGGGAUAACUUCGGGAAGCCGGAGCUAAUACCGGAUAAUAUAUUGAACCGCAUGGUUCAAUAGUGAAAGACGGUUUUGCUGUCACUUAUAGAUGGAUCCGCGCCGCAUUAGCUAGUUGGUAAGGUAACGGCUUACCAAGGCGACGAUGCGUAGCCGACCUGAGAGGGUGAUCGGCCACACUGGAACUGAGACACGGUCCAGACUCCUACGGGAGGCAGCAGUAGGGAAUCUUCCGCAAUGGGCGAAAGCCUGACGGAGCAACGCCGCGUGAGUGAUGAAGGUCUUCGGAUCGUAAAACUCUGUUAUUAGGGAAGAACAAAUGUGUAAGUAACUAUGCACGUCUUGACGGUACCUAAUCAGAAAGCCACGGCUAACUACGUG
RNAcentral lists this ribosomal RNA (496 nucleotides) under uncultured bacterium. RNAcentral's name for it is "partial 16S ribosomal RNA". It matches the Rfam family "Bacterial small subunit ribosomal RNA", at positions 29 to 507 of the family's 1533-position model. The record is from RNAcentral.